CCUUAGUGGGAGGAAGUGACUCGCAGCCGUCACUUCCUCCCAGCGCUGCCGAAAAGCAAAGGGCCCGGUCGCGCUGUUAAAGUGCUACAGCGUGUGACCGGGCCCCUGCUUACAAUACCCACCCGGUGGCCUGCUUAAUGUGAGGGCCAGCGGCCCCAUGGGGGAAACAAUUGUUGAGGGCAGCGGGGCCCACGGGGAAGCUGCCUUGGGCCCCCCAAGAGUAACAGGGCCCGGGGCGGCUGCCCCGUUUGCCCCGCGUUAAAGACGGCCCUGCAUACA
Pelobates cultripes (western spadefoot toad) is the source of this 279-nucleotide non-coding RNA. NCBI's taxonomy places the organism in Eukaryota, Metazoa, Chordata, Amphibia, Anura, Pelobatidae. The record is from the annotation of a GenBank genome assembly.